Molecule: microRNA precursor, 168 nt
Filed under: Pelobates cultripes (western spadefoot toad)
Lineage: Eukaryota; Metazoa; Chordata; Amphibia; Anura; Pelobatidae
Source: RNAcentral
CGGUCCGCCCCCUAUACGUCAUCAUUGAGUAAACUUUGACCCGGAACCUCACAGUCAGCAGACACUUCCUGGGAGGGAGGGUCUGCUGCUGAUUGGGUGGAAUGUUUCUGCUGGCUGUGAGGUUCCGGGUCAAAGUUUACUCAAUGAUGACGUAUAGGGGGCGGACCG